RNAcentral lists this ribosomal RNA (292 nucleotides) under uncultured bacterium. RNAcentral describes it as "partial 16S ribosomal RNA". It matches the Rfam family "Bacterial small subunit ribosomal RNA", at positions 505 to 796 of the family's 1533-position model. The record is from RNAcentral.
GUGCCAGCCGCCGCGGUAAUACGGAGGGUGCAAGCGUUGUCCGGAAUCACUGGGCGUAAAGGGUGCGCAGGCGGGGCAGCAAGUCGGAGGUGAAAGCCCAUGGCUCAACCAUGGAAGUGCCUUCGAAACUGUUGCUCUUGAGUCCCGGAGAGGCUGUCGGAAUUCGUGGUGUAGCGGUGAAAUGCGUAGAUAUCACGAGGAACACCAGAGGCGAAAGCGGACAGCUGGACGGGUACUGACGCUCAGGCACGAAAGCCAGGGUCUCCAACCGGAUUAGAAACCCGUGUAGUCC